This 292-nucleotide ribosomal RNA is filed under the name uncultured bacterium. RNAcentral describes it as "partial 16S ribosomal RNA". It matches the Rfam family "Bacterial small subunit ribosomal RNA", at positions 28 to 319 of the family's 1533-position model. The record is from RNAcentral.
GACGAACGCUGGCGGCGUGCUUAACACAUGCAAGUCGAGCGGAAAGGCCCUUUCGGGGGUACUCGAGCGGCGAACGGGUGAGUAACACGUGAGUAAUCUGCCCUUCACUCUGGGAUAGCCCUCCGAAAGGGGAGUUAAUACCGGAUACGACCAUGGUACGCAUGUGCUUGUGGUGGAAAGGUUUCUUGGUGGGGGAGUGUGCUCGCGGCCUAUCAGCUUGUUGGUGGGGUAAGUGGCCUACCUAGGCUUCGACGGGUAGCCGGCCUGAGAGGGUGACCGGCCACACUGGGAC